RNAcentral lists this ribosomal RNA (253 nucleotides) under uncultured bacterium. Its description in RNAcentral is "partial 16S ribosomal RNA". It matches the Rfam family "Bacterial small subunit ribosomal RNA", at positions 524 to 776 of the family's 1533-position model. The record is from RNAcentral.
UACGUAGGGUCCGAGCGUUGUCCGGAAUUAUUGGGCGUAAAGGGCUCGUAGGCGGUUCGUCACGUCGGGAGUGAAAACUCGGGGCUUAACCCCGAGCCUGCUUCCGAUACGGGCAGACUAGAGGUAGGCAGGGGAGAGCGGAACUCCUGGUGUAGCGGUGGAAUGCGCAGAUAUCAGGAAGAACACCCGUGGCGAAGGCGGCUCUCUGGGACGGUACUGACGCUGAGACGCGAAAGCGUGGGGAGCGAACAGG